Long non-coding RNA from Camelina sativa (false flax), 1094 nucleotides. RefSeq lists it as uncharacterized. The record is from RefSeq and is a predicted model, not a curated record. NCBI's taxonomy places the organism in Eukaryota, Viridiplantae, Streptophyta, Magnoliopsida, Brassicales, Brassicaceae.
UUUGGUUUAUGAUGGAAAGUGAACUGGUAAAAAGGGAUACAGUUUUUAUUUUCACUUUAAAUGCGAUGUUAUAAAGUGAACUGGGUUAAUCUGGUGGUCGGACCGGCUUUUUGGGUUUUAACUUUAAGGAGUGGAAUCAUGUCACAUGGACGGACGGACACGCGGAGACACGAGAUUACUUUAUGUUGGCUCUGUAAGCGAGUUUGUGCAACAGACGCGCGUUUGUGUGCGUUGUUACUGCUUUAUAUCGAAGAAGAUUCUUCUAUUCUGUGUAAGUACUGAAGGUAUCAACCAAUGGGAACUAACCACGUGGCGUGACGACUUAGUUUGUUUUUUACUGAGAAAUUUCCGACAGAACGCAAAUUUGAAAGUGAGUUCGAUUGUUCGAAAUUUUCUUCUUUUCCAGCAUUAGAGUUAGAGGUGUUUUGGAGCGCGAUUUUUCAUCAGCUUGAUGAGGGAAAUAUCGGGUAAAUGAUCGAAGAUGUACGCUUUUUGCUUUGGUUCAGAGGAUUGGUAAUUGCACACAAGCUGCUCGAUAGAAUGUGUAACCAAAGUUAAGGAUUGAAAUUUAUGUUCUCAUCUGGUUUAUUUAUUGGCUUGGGCUGGUGAUGGAAUUGGAGAAGAGUUUGAGUCUAUACCCACUUGGUUUUCAGUAGUAUACGCUGGUAUAGAUUCAGAAACGCUAUUUGCUGGGAAUAUGGAAUAAGAUGAUGGGAAUGUUGUGGGUAACAUUAAGCGUCUGCGUUGCGUUACAUGUUGACAUCUGAGACCUCAAUUUACUAGCUCAUUGUCUAAUUAAAAGAUCAAAAACUUUGCUUGAGCCUUCUUCAGUUUUGGUUUGGAACUUGUCAAGUGAACGUGAUGGAAGAAGAGCUUGGUUGCCCCAGCCAGACUCCAAUUUUGCUUCUUGAGGAGUUCUGGUGUUGGUGUUCCCACUGACAUUCAGGAAGGAUUGGUUCAAAAACUUCAUUUGCAAGAGUGGUGACAUUUGUGAACUGAUCAUCCCAGGAAUAAACUAGUAUAGCUGAAUCAGACAUGGCUGUUAUUUUCUUUAUAAAGGGAAACACAAGAAGAAGACAAGUUUUAAGCAAAAA